Molecule: non-coding RNA, 48 nt
Filed under: Schistosoma margrebowiei
Lineage: Eukaryota; Metazoa; Platyhelminthes; Trematoda; Strigeidida; Schistosomatidae
Source: RNAcentral
AUCCAGCUGAUGUGUCUCAAAUAGGACGAAAUGUAUGUCAUACUGGAU